GACGAACGCUGGCGGCGUGCCUAACACAUGCAAGUCGAGCGGAGAUGUACUGAAGAUUUAUCGGAUGUACAUCUUAGCGGCGGACGGGUGAGUAACGCGUGGGCAACCUGCCUUUCACUGGGGGAUAACACAGGGAAACCUGUGCUAAUACCGCAUGACAUCACGUAGGGCAUCCUAUGUGAUCAAAGGAGAGAUCCGGUGGAAGAUGGGCCCGCGUCCAAUUAGCUGGUUGGUGAGGUAAAGGCUCACCAAGGCGACGAUUGGUAGCCGAACUGAGAGGUUGAUCGGCCACAUUGGGACUGAGACACGGUCCAGACUCCUACGGGAGGCAGCAGUGGGGAAUUUUGCGCAAUGGGGGAAACCCUGACGCAGCGACGCCGCGUGGAGGAUGACGGCCUCGGUUGUAACGUACCUGUCAGAAGGGACGGAAAGUACCGCCAACGGGACCGUAGACGGUAACCGUUCCUAGAGGAAGGACCCGGCCGUAACCUAACCGUGCCAGCAGCCGCGGU
RNAcentral lists this ribosomal RNA (512 nucleotides) under uncultured bacterium. RNAcentral describes it as "bacterial SSU rRNA". It matches the Rfam family "Bacterial small subunit ribosomal RNA", at positions 28 to 521 of the family's 1533-position model. The record is from RNAcentral.